Molecule: ribosomal RNA, 714 nt
Filed under: uncultured bacterium
Lineage: Bacteria
Description: bacterial SSU rRNA
Rfam family: Bacterial small subunit ribosomal RNA
Source: RNAcentral
UGCAAGUCGAGCGAUUUUUUGACCGCAAGGUUGAGAAGUAGCGGCGGACGGCUGAGUAAUGUACAGGAAUCUGCCCCUUAGUGGAACAUAGCUCCGGGAAACCGGGGGUAAUUUUCCAUGGUACUCUCCUUUGGAGAGUUAAAAGCCUUUACCGGUUGCUAAGGGAUGAGCCUGUAUCCUAUCAGGUAGUUGGUGGGGUAAAAGCCUACCAAGCCUAUGACGGGUAGCUGAUCUGGGAGGAUGAUCAGCCAGAGGGGGACUGAGACACGGCCCCCACUCCUACGGGAGGCAGCAAUCAGGAAUAGUCGGCAAUGGGCGAAAGCCUGACCGCGCGACACCGCGUGUAGGAUUUUGAUAUUAUGUAUCGUAAACUACUGUUGGAGGGGAAGAAGAUCAUCGUAAGAUGAUUUGACGGUACCCUCCGAGAAAGGAGCCGCUAACUGCGUGCCAGAAGCGUCGGUAAUACGUGGGCUCCAAGCAUUAUCCGGUUUUAUUGGGCGUAAAGGGUCGUGUAGACUGUUUGAUAAGGUAUCUUUGAAAGCUCGCCGCUUAACGGUGAGUUGGAGAUACGACUGUCAUGACUAGAUUUUCUUUAAGGGUAAUCGGAACUCAGAGAGGAGUAGUGAAAUGCGUUGAUACUCUGGGGAACACCAAUGGCGAAGGCAGAUUACUGGAAGGAAAAUGACGUUGAGACACGAAAGCUAGGGUAGCGAA